This is a non-coding RNA of Paenibacillus sp. Soil787, 178 nucleotides long. The record is from Rfam. Lineage: Bacteria; Bacillati; Bacillota; Bacilli; Caryophanales; Paenibacillaceae.
UGUACCUUUAAAAACAGUCCAGAGAGGCUGGCAAGGUAGUCGAUGAGAAAAGACGGGAUAUACUGAGUCGCGAAUUCAGUGUAUGACAAAGCUUGGGGAUGUGCGCAUCCUUAUGCCCCGCUCUGUAUCUUUACGCACUCGUAACUCCUUGCCAAUAAAUGGCAAGGAGUUUUUUGGU